GAUGAACGCUGGCGGCGUGCCUAAUACAUGCAAGUCGAGCGAACAGAUGAGGAUCUUUCUCCUCUGACGUUGGCGGCGGACGGGUGAGUAACACGUGGAUAACCUACCUAUAAGACUGGGAUAACUUCGGGAAACCUGAGCUAAUACCGGAUAAUAUAUUGAACCUCAUGGUUCAAUAGUCAAAGACGGUUUUGCUGUCACUUAUAGAUGGAUCCGCGCCGCAUUAGCUAGUUGGUAAGGUAACGGCUUACCAAGGCAACGAUCCGUAGCCGACCUGAGAGGGUGAUCGGCCACACUGGAACUGAGACACGGUCCAGACUCCUACGGGAGGCAGCAGUAGGGAAUCUUCCGCAAUGGGCGAAAGCCUGACGGAGCAACGCCGCGUGAGUGAUGAAGGUCUUCGGAUCGUAAAACUCUGUUAGUAGGGAGGAACAAAAGUGUAAGUAACUAUGCCCGUCUUGACGGUACCUAAUCAAGAAGCCACGGCUAACUACGUG
Molecule: ribosomal RNA, 497 nt
Filed under: uncultured bacterium
Lineage: Bacteria
Description: partial 16S ribosomal RNA
Rfam family: Bacterial small subunit ribosomal RNA
Source: RNAcentral